Molecule: ribosomal RNA, 202 nt
Filed under: uncultured bacterium
Lineage: Bacteria
Description: partial 16S ribosomal RNA
Rfam family: Bacterial small subunit ribosomal RNA
Source: RNAcentral
ACGCUCGACACCUACGGGAGGCAGCAGGUGGGGAAUAUUGGGCAAUGGGCGCAAGCCUGACCCAGCAACGCCGCGUGAAGGAAGAAGGCCCUCGGGUUGUAAACUUCUUUUGUCAGGGACGAAGCAAGUGACGGUACCUGACGAAUAAGCCACGGCUAACUACGUGCCAACAGCCGCGGUAAUCUGAGCGGGCUGGCAAGGC